GAUGAACGCUGGCGGCGUGCCUAAUACAUGCAAGUCGAGCGAACGGACGAGAAGCUUGCUUCUCUGAUGUUAGCGGCGGACGGGUGAGUAACACGUGGAUAACCUACCUAUAAGACUGGGAUAACUUCGGGAAACCGGAGCUAAUACCGGAUGAUAUUUUGAACCGCAUGGUUCAAAAGUGAAAGACGGUCUUGCUGUCACUUAUAGAUGGAUCCGCGCUGCAUUAGCUAGUUGGUAAGGUAACGGCUUACCAAGGCAACGAUGCAUAGCCGACCUGAGAGGGUGAGCGGCCACACUGGAACUGGGACACGGUCCAGACUCCUACGGGAGGCAGCAGUAGGGAAUCUUCCGCAAUGGGCGAAAGCCUGACGGAGCAACGCCGCGUGAGUGAUGAAGGUCUUCGGAUCGUAAAACUCUGUUAUUAGGGAAGAACAUAUGUGUAAGUAACUGUACACAUCUUGACGGUACCUAAUCAGAAAGCCACGGCUAACUACGUG
This 497-nucleotide ribosomal RNA is filed under the name uncultured bacterium. RNAcentral describes it as "partial 16S ribosomal RNA". It matches the Rfam family "Bacterial small subunit ribosomal RNA", at positions 28 to 507 of the family's 1533-position model. The record is from RNAcentral.